Molecule: long non-coding RNA, 2585 nt
Filed under: Bos indicus x Bos taurus (hybrid cattle)
Lineage: Eukaryota; Metazoa; Chordata; Mammalia; Artiodactyla; Bovidae
Description: lncRNA (ENSBIXG00005024842.1)
Source: RNAcentral
AUGUUUCUCUGUAGCCCUUCAAAGGUAGCGUCAGUGAGCCUGGAAGCUUCUGGAUCACGUAUGCCGAUCAAGGAGAGUGUGGAUGGACAUUUAAACUCCUCUCGAAUUCUGGUUCUAAACACCACAGCUGUGGGUGCAGAGCUGAGAGCAGGAAUGGGCUCAAACCACUGCUACAGAAAUGCUGCAGCCCCUCACGGAGGCCAAGGACGUGCUGUCACCAUGUGGCCGUCAACAGGAGAGGAGGGUCUGGCCCUCAUCACAGACCCUGCCUUGGGGCUGCUUCGGCCCACGGCGCCUGUGGACACUCCCUGCGUCCUCUGGCUGCCGAAGGCCCUACGUCUGGACCACGAGACCACGAGGCCCUCGCCCAGAAGCCACUGCUGAGGGCACGUCUGCGGGCCGGCCCAUGGUCAGGAGUCCCGAGGUCUGCUGCCCCAGCAGGUGGGGGCAGACGGGGCGAGCAUGGAGUGUGGAGACAGGAGGCAAGGUCCCACCCCCCCAGCACAGCAUGAGUUAGACGCUGGGAGGCUAACGGCCGGGGUCCUCCAUACCCACUGCCUCCUCUGAGAGGCCCCAGCUCCCGGGUGCUGAGACUCAGGGCCUCUGAGGAUGGGGCUUGCAUGGGCUCCUGUGCGCGCACGUCUGGCAGCCUCCCCCUCCUGGGACGAGGUCACUCAUGCACUCAGCUCCUGGGAAUGAAGAGCCUCGCCCGGCCUGCCCUCCCCGGGUCGGUUCCAGCAGCAGGAAGUCGGGGUCCAGGGCUCAGACAAGAGACGAGAGCAGGACCGCGGCCCCCCAUCAGCACCCCGCGCCCCCGGUGAUGCCCCCCAGGCCUACCCUCUUCACUGCCUGAGACGCGGCCCCAGCUGGGAUGCAGCCCAUGGGCCCUCCCCGCCUCCCCACCUCGCAGGUAAAGCAGCGAUGGGAACUCGGAAGCCAAGGGUGAAGGACGGGGGGCCAGGAGCCCAGCGCACAGGGUCUCAGAACAAGGGGGAGGCUGGGGUGGUCCAAGGAGUGCUGUCCCAGGCUCUGCACACUCAGCGUUUCUCCUCAGGGCAGUUGGUCUCACCCUGUGUGUGCACGCUCACUCACUCAGUCGUGUCUGACUCUUUGUGACCCCGUGGACGGUAGCCCACCAGGCUCCUCUGUCCAUGGGAUUCUCCAGGCGAGACAUUGGAGCGGGUUUCCACACCCUCCUCCAGGGAAUCUCCCCGACCCAGGGAUCUAACCCCGGUGUCCUGCACUGCACGCGGAUUCUUUACUGCUGAGCCACCGAGGAAGAACCGGUCUCACCUUGGCUUCUUGUUGAAAUCGCCGUUGGCUGUGAAAGUUGCUGGUAAAGCCCCUGCCCCUCAGGCCCGGAAAGCAAGGCUCUGGGGGCUCAGCCGGAGUGCCAGUGGUCCCCGUGGCUCCCAGGGUGGGAUGGGGAUCCUGGGGACCCUGGAAACACCUCCAAUAGGAAACUCGCUUUUGUCUCAUGCAUGGCUCCAUCAGGUUCACUUCAACGGACUUUGGCGAGUUUCAAGUAAAAGUGAUCAAGAAUGUUUUAUUACAAUACCACAUGCAUAUUAGCCCAAUUAUCAAAAUGCGACUCUAUCUUUCAGCUAUAAAUAUGUGCAGAGGAGUCUGCACUGACUGUUGGAUUUGGGGGUAGAUUUUUACUUUCUGGGCUUCCCUGAUGGCUCAGUAGGUAAAGAAUCUGCCUGCCAUGCAGGAGACACAGGAGAUGCGAGUUUGAUCCCUGGGUCAGGAAGAUUCCUUAGAGGAGGACACAGCAACCCACUCCCAGUAUUCUUGCCUGGGAAAUCCUAUGGAAAGGCCAUGGACUGAGGAACCUGGUGGGCUACAGUCCAAAGAGUGGGAAAGAGUCAGACACAACUGAGCGACUGGCCAACGCUGUUUUUACUCUCUCGGUGGUUUUCUGUGCAGCUUGAUUUGUUUCCUAAUAAGGAAUGAAUCAUAGUUUACAAAAACACCUAAAUCAUUAUACUAAAAAAUACUACGGAACAAGAUGAUCAAGAAAAGCAGAGCAAACGUCCUGAGGAUAAAACCCUGUGGUCAGGUGAAGGAGGGGUGAGGCUGUGCCAUCCCUGGGGGAGUGGGUGCAGCUGAGGGGUCCUCACCUCAUCACCCCGGGCCCUGAGCAGCCCAGCCCCUUCCUCCCCCAGAAUGAAGGCAACUGCUGACACCUGCCUUCCCCUCACAGGGUUUUUUCCUUUUUUUAAACUCAAAUGAGAUGCUGAUGUUUGUAAAAGAGAUGCAGAGAGCGUAAACAGCUGUCGGAUAUUCCUGGAAGCUCAGCGGCAGCCAGUCAAUUCUCCCUGAAGUGAACACAUUAAGUCAACACACCUUGAAGUUCACGGGGAAGGACACCCAACCAGCGCCCAAGGAGGCUUUACAAAUUAUUUAGGAUGUACAUUUUUAACAGACUAAACACAUUUCUGUUUUGUAGAGAGAACUUACUGUUUUAAGAAGCACAUUAAAUUUUUUUUUUAAUGGAGAUGAAGUAGGGAAAGUCUUCCGCCCCAACUAAGGGGGGCUUUAAGAUUUAAGCGUUUCAAAUAAAGCUAAUAAAUCUUUAAUCA